RNAcentral lists this ribosomal RNA (547 nucleotides) under Clostridioides difficile. RNAcentral's name for it is "bacterial SSU rRNA". It matches the Rfam family "Bacterial small subunit ribosomal RNA", at positions 251 to 816 of the family's 1533-position model. The record is from RNAcentral. Lineage: Bacteria; Bacillati; Bacillota; Clostridia; Peptostreptococcales; Peptostreptococcaceae.
GGUAAGGUAACGGCUUACCAAGGCGACGAUCAGUAGCCGACCUGAGAGGGUGAUCGGCCACAUUGGAACUGAGACACGGUCCAAACUCCUACGGGAGGCAGCAGUGGGGAAUAUUGCACAAUGGGCGAAAGCCUGAUGCAGCAACGCCGCGUGAGUGAUGAAGGCCUUCGGGUCGUAAAACUCUGUCCUCAAGGAAGAUAAUGACGGUACUUGAGGAGGAAGCCCCGGCUAACUACGUGCCAGCAGCCGCGGUAAUACGUAGGGGGCUAGCGUUAUCCGGAUUUACUGGGCGUAAAGGGUGCGUAGGCGGUCUUUCAAGUCAGGAGUGAAAGGCUACGGCUCAACCGUAGUAAGCUCUUGAAACUGGGAGACUUGAGUGCAGGAGAGGAGAGUGGAAUUCCUAGUGUAGCGGUGAAAUGCGUAGAUAUUAGGAGGAACACCAGUUGCGAAGGCGGCUCUCUGGACUGUAACUGACGCUGAGGCACGAAAGCGUGGGGAGCAAACAGGAUUAGAUACCCUGGUAGUCCACGCUGUAAACGAUGAGUAC